UGGAUACACUCAUUUCCGUGUUCUGAC
RNAcentral lists this small RNA (27 nucleotides) under Bombyx mori (domestic silkworm). RNAcentral's name for it is "ovarian small RNA-8725". The record is from RNAcentral. Lineage: Eukaryota; Metazoa; Arthropoda; Insecta; Lepidoptera; Bombycidae.